AUAGGUGUGGGUCUGCCUGUGUGAGCAGGGAGCUUCCUGAGGGCAGGUGUCCUCACCUCCGUGUGUCCCUCCUCUUUCUCUGCUUCUCCCUGUCCCCAUCUCCCUUCUUGUUCCCUUUCCCUCCCUCCUCUGUCCCCAUGCUCUGAUCUCCCCCCAUUUACACACACAAUUUUGUACCUCCUCUGAGAGUCUUGUCUCACCCUGCCCCCACUUUCCUACACAUCAGCCAGUCCCUCCAAACUGAAUAGAAAUUCUCCCCAGUCAGAGGCAAAUAGGAUACAUCCACCCCUAAAAGACAAGGAACAGAAGUGUGGAGAACCAGAAUCAUGUCAAGCAUUUCCCAGGGGAGGGGAAAAGGCCACAGCUGAUAAUAAAAAUGUUGCUUGCUGCCAUGACAACCGCAGCCCUUUAGCCACAGUACCAAGGGUUUGGAGGCAAAAAAAUCAAUUGCAUGUUUAUUUCCCCAGCAUGACCAGUAUCCCUAAGGAGGAGGAAGCCAAGGAGGAGAUGUCUUCAGUCCCCUACCUGUCACCUGCCAGAGAACCAGGGCACCUGGUGGGAGUUGGCCUUCCUUUCUCCUAACUGCCAUCAAUUGUGACAUCACUGUCAGCUGUGUCCAGUGUCUAACUCUUCACUUGUAUCAACGAGCUUAGCGAUGGCCAUUGGGCGUCGGCCGGGUGCCCAGGAGGAGUGGUGUUUCCUCCCAAGAAUUCUCCAAACUUCUUAGAAGCAACCUUGGGAAACUGGCUGCAAGCAGUAGAUGGAGGCCUCAUGAACCUCUCAGAAUUCCAGUGUGCCAACAGGCCCAGUCCAGUUCUCAUUAACAGAUGAAGAUAGAUGUGUAGGCAAUCAAGGAAAUCAUUGCCGUGAGUUUUUGCUGUCUUGAAUGCAUCUCUCCAAUAUGCAUUGUUCCCGUCCCCGCCAGCCCCUCCGAUCCCCCACCCUUCUGGCUUGUUAUCAGCUCCGUGCUGUCUCUUUGCAUUAAAGUGACAAGAAGCAGCACAAAGCUGACAACAGGCGUCUGGAGCUGUAAUUUGCACUGACAUUCACUGGCGUUAUCCACUUAUUGCCUGGUAAGCCAAAUAGGAGAUUUGUCUGAUUUUGAUCCUAGGAAGAGAAAUGACAGCCCUGCUCUGCUCCUGCCAUUCAAAACAAAGCACCAGGCCGGUCCUUGGGCCCGAGUGCUGGCUGGCAAAGCCCACCUUCGUGAUGGGGAGGCUCAUCUUCCUUUCCUCCGGCCGAAACUGCCUUUUAGGCCUGACGUCUGGCAAAUACUGGACAAGGGGCUGUAGUGGGCAGUGGGAGGUGCCAGGCCAACCUCUCAGCUGGUGACAACCCUGACCACGGUUGCCAGGAGACUUCAGAGGACCCUCUGGGGGAAUGAAGUGCCCCCAGGUAGUCAGGCCCCAGCUGAAAGCCCUCCUUCUGCCUCCCCAGCCCCUCCCUGUAGACUCUUCUGGCUGGAAGAGAAGCUAGGCUGAAUGAGAGGCUCUCGAGAAGCAGCACCAAGGAGUUAGCCGGUGGGCACAGCCCGCUAUGUAAUUUACAAGACCCCAGACAAAAUGAAAGUGUGGGGCCCCUUGUUCAAAAAAAGCAGGAAAGAUGUCCUUAAAGGUACUAAAAUAUAAGGCCUUUAUCUUUCUUUUGUGGUCUCCAAUUUGUCAUAGUGUUUUUUUACUUGCUAUGUA
This is a long non-coding RNA of Camelus dromedarius (Arabian camel), 1688 nucleotides long. RefSeq lists it as uncharacterized. NCBI's taxonomy places the organism in Eukaryota, Metazoa, Chordata, Mammalia, Artiodactyla, Camelidae. The record is from RefSeq and is a predicted model, not a curated record. The transcript has 3 exons.